This 305-nucleotide ribosomal RNA is filed under the name uncultured bacterium. Its description in RNAcentral is "bacterial SSU rRNA". It matches the Rfam family "Bacterial small subunit ribosomal RNA", at positions 338 to 660 of the family's 1533-position model. The record is from RNAcentral.
CCUACGGGAGGCAGCAGUAGGGAAUUUUGCGCAAUGGGCGAAAGCCUGACGCAGCAACGCCGCGUGAUCGAGACGCCCUUCGGGGUGUAAAGAUCUGUCAGUGGGGACGAAACUUGACGGUACCCACAGAGGAAGCACCGGCUAACUCCGUGCCAGCAGCCGCGGUAAUACGGGGGGUGCAAGCGUUGUCCGGAAUCAUUGGGCGUAAAGAGUUCGUAGGCGGCACGUAAAGUCUGGUGUUAAAGGCAGAGGCUCAACUUCUGUACGGCACUGGAUACUUGCGAGCUAGAAUGCGGUAGAGGUAA